GCCUACCAUGCAAGUCGAGCGGCAGCACAGAUAACUUGUUUCUCGGGUGGCGAGCGGCGGACGGGGAGGGGGGCUGGGAAUUGCCCUGAUGUGGGGGAUAACCAUUGGAAACGAUGGCUAAUACCGCAUGAUGCCUACGGGCCAAAGAGGGGGACCUUCGGGCCUCUCGCGUCAGGAUAUGCCCAGGUGGGAUUAGCUAGUUGGUGAGGUAAGGGCUCACCAAGGCGACGAUCCCUAGCUGGUCUGAGAGGAUGAUCAGCCACACUGGAACUGAGACACGGUCCAGACUCCUACGGGAGGCAGCAGUGGGGAAUAUUGCACAAUGGGCGCAAGCCUGAUGCAGCCAUGCCGCGUGUGUGAAGAAGGCCUUCGGGUUGUAAAGCACUUUCAGUAGGGAGGAAGGUGGUAGUGUUAAUAGCGCUAUCAUUUGACGUUACCUACAGAAGAAGCACCGGCUAACUCCGUGCCAGCAGCCGCGGUAAUACGGAGGGUGCGAGCGUUAAUCGGAAUUACUGGGCGUAAAGCGCAUGCAGGUGGUUUGUUAAGUCAGAUGUGAAAGCCCCGGGCUCAACCUGGGAAAUUGCAUUUGAAACUGGCAAACUAGAGUACUGUUAGAGGGGGGUAGAAUUUCAGGUGUAGCGGUGAAAUGCGUAGAGAUCUGAAGGAAUACCGGUGGCGAAAGGCGGCCCCCUGGACAGAUACUGACACUCAGAUGCGAAAGCGUGGGGAGCAAAACAGGAUUAGAUACCCUGGGUAGUCCACGCCCGUAAAACGAUGUCUACUUUGGAGGUUUGUGGCCUUGAGCCGUGGGCUUUUCGGGAAGCUAACGCGUU
Molecule: ribosomal RNA, 833 nt
Filed under: uncultured bacterium
Lineage: Bacteria
Description: bacterial SSU rRNA
Rfam family: Bacterial small subunit ribosomal RNA
Source: RNAcentral